CAGUGAGUAACUUGUGUCUGCAAACCUGAAGUGUCCACUUCUGUUUGAAGUCCACAUACCAGACUGGACCGCAGAAACUCAGCCGUCACUGAGGACACCUCACGCUGUCGCUGUGUUAUGUCUACAUCUCGUCUGCAAGCCUCUGAUGCUCCAGCUGUGGGUGAUUAUCGUCAGCGUCUCAGUUUAUCACACGUCUGUUGGGGCUAAUUUUAUAAUCUGACCGUGCCGGUUCACAUCAGUUUGGUGCUAAUACUGCCAGACUGUUUGUUAUCACGUCGUCGUCACGGGGGCUGCUCGCAGGAGCUGGUUCAUGGAGUCCAGCUUGGUUCUCAUCCAGGUCUGUGUGCUGCUGUGAAGAGUCCCACCGACUGCUGUCAGGAUCACAGCCGGGAGGAGGUGGAGGAGGACAGCUGCUGUCAGAGAUAAGAUCAGCCGGUGUCAGAGAGCCAGGAUUAAAUAAGUAAAGAGAACGCCACCACUGAAAUAAUCCUCAGAGGUUUUACUUCCUGCACACAAGUGAACACGAUGCUUAUAUUCUUUCAGAAGCUCUUCUGUCCGGCCGUUCCAGUGUGUGGCUGCUCCUCCCUGCAGCGCUCAGCAGAGGAGUCCUGCUGGUCUGGGAUCAGAAGCUGGAGGCUGCAGACCGCAGAGGUCAGCAGCAGCAGUGAGGGGCCGACAUGUAGGUUUAUCCCUGAGACUAAAUGGAAGGAGACAGAAGUUAAUUCACCACGCGCACACACACAACAGUGGUUGCAUGGCUUCCUCCGAGCUGAGGUCCGGCCGCUGUGAUUUAGACCAGACGGCCCAGGACGGAGGAAGGCCUCCAUCACUUCCUGCUGCCAAACGGUACCGCUGGGGAAACACCAGCCGGGACCUGUAAAGGUACGAUCUGACACAUCGGGAGGUUUACUGAGAAAAGCCAAAGUGGGGUCAA
Acanthopagrus latus (yellowfin seabream) is the source of this 934-nucleotide long non-coding RNA. RefSeq lists it as uncharacterized. The record is from RefSeq and is a predicted model, not a curated record. The transcript has 3 exons. NCBI's taxonomy places the organism in Eukaryota, Metazoa, Chordata, Actinopteri, Spariformes, Sparidae.